AUUGGCUCUGGAGAGCGGUCUAAAUUGAGACCCACCGAAGGUGAUACGUGUUUUUGACACUCAAUCUCUCAGGUAAUAGGACAGAGGAG
RNAcentral lists this non-coding RNA (89 nucleotides) under marine eukaryotic metagenome. RNAcentral's name for it is "Glycine riboswitch". It matches the Rfam family "Glycine riboswitch aptamer", at positions 9 to 86 of the family's 94-position model. From Rfam's summary of the family: This family represents the bacterial glycine riboswitch. Glycine riboswitches usually consist of two metabolite-binding aptamers domains with similar structures in tandem. The record is from RNAcentral.